UCGUAACAACCGAGGCGCGAGGGCUGUCGCUGAUCUGAACCCUCAGGUCGUGCACGCUCGAGCGUCCUCGCACAUCCAUCUCACCCCAAUGUGCACCACCGCGUGGGUCUCCCUGGAAGGGGGGGCCCAUGUCUUUUCACACAAACCUCAAAGUAGUGUAGAAUGUAUUUUCUUUUUGCGGUGAUACGCAAUCAAUA
Molecule: unclassified non-coding RNA, 197 nt
Filed under: uncultured Russulaceae
Lineage: Eukaryota; Fungi; Basidiomycota; Agaricomycetes; Russulales; Russulaceae
Description: sequence contains ITS1
Source: RNAcentral